AAUAGAUACCCCGGUAGUCCACGCCGUAAACGGUGGGCACUAGGUGUGGGCAACAUUCCACGUUGUCCGUGCCGCAGCUAACGCAUUAAGUGCCCCGCCUGGGGAGUACGGCCGCAAGGCUAAAACUCAAAGGAAUUGACGGGGGCCCGCACAAGCGGCGGAGCAUGUGGCUUAAUUCGACGCAACGCGAAGAACCUUACCAAGGCUUGACAUACACCGGAAACGUCUGGAGACAGGCGCCCCCUUGUGGUCGGUGUACAGGUGGUGCAUGGCUGCCGUCAGCUCGUGUCGUGAGAUGUUGGGUUAAGUCCCGCAACGAGCGCAACCCUUGUCCCGUGUUGCCAGCAGGCCCUUGUGGUGCUGGGGACUCACGGGAGACCGCCGGGGUCAACUCGGAGGAAGGUGGGGACGACGUCAAGUCAUCAUGCCCCUUAUGUCUUGGGCUGCACACGUGCUACAAUGGCCGGUACAAUGAGCUGCGAUACCGCGAGGUGGAGCGAAUCUCAAAAAGCCGGUCUCAGUUCGGAUUGGGGUCUGCAAC
RNAcentral lists this ribosomal RNA (541 nucleotides) under uncultured bacterium. RNAcentral describes it as "bacterial SSU rRNA". It matches the Rfam family "Bacterial small subunit ribosomal RNA", at positions 777 to 1311 of the family's 1533-position model. The record is from RNAcentral.